RNAcentral lists this unclassified non-coding RNA (322 nucleotides) under uncultured fungus. RNAcentral describes it as "partial contains 5.8S ribosomal RNA and internal transcribed spacer 2". The stretch from base 1 to 133 matches the Rfam family "5.8S ribosomal RNA", at positions 22 to 154 of the family's 154-position model. The record is from RNAcentral. Lineage: Eukaryota; Fungi.
UGGUUCUGGCAUCGAUGAAGAACACAGCGAAAUGCGAUAAGUAAUGUGAAUUGCAGAAUUCAGUGAAUCAUCGAAUCUUUGAACGCACAUUGCGCCCGCCAGUAUUCUGGCGGGCAUGCCUGUUCGAGCGUCAUUUCAACCCUCAAGCCCAGCUUGGUGUUGGGGCAUUGCGGCUCGUCCGCAAGCCCCGAAAAACAGUGGCGGGCUCGCUAUAACUCCGAGCGUAGUAGUUUAUUCUCGCUCUGGAAGAGUGGCGGGCCCCGGCCGUUAAACCCCCAAUUUUUACAAGGUUGACCUCGGAUCAGGUAGGGAUACCCGCUGA